RNAcentral lists this ribosomal RNA (1184 nucleotides) under uncultured organism. RNAcentral describes it as "bacterial SSU rRNA". It matches the Rfam family "Bacterial small subunit ribosomal RNA", at positions 55 to 1265 of the family's 1533-position model. The record is from RNAcentral.
AUGCAAGUCGAACGGGAGCCAUUGGUUUCGACUGAUGGUGAGAGUGGCGCACGGGUGCGUAACACGUAGCUGACCUGCCCUUCGCAGGGGGAUAACUUGCCGAAAGGUGAGCUAAUACCGCGUAAUCUCAUGGGACCUAGCACCCCAUGAGGAAAGCUGAGGCGGCGAAGGAGGGGGCUGGGCCCAUCAGCUANUUGGUAGGGUAAAGGCCUACCAGGCGAUGACGGGUAGGGGUGCCUGAGAGGGUGACCCCCCACACUGGCACUGAGAUACGGGCCAGACUCCUACGGGAGGCAGCAGUAAGGAAUAUUGCACAAUGGGCGCAAGCCUGAUGCUGCAACGCCGCGUGAAGGAUGAAGGCUUUCGAGUUGUAAACUUCUUUUCUGCGGGAAGAGAACGGACGGUACCGCAGGAACAAGUCUCGGCUAACUACGUGCGAGCAGCCGCGGUUAAAACGUAGGAGGCGAGCGUUAUCCGGAUUUACUGGGCGUAAAGCGCACGCAGGGCGGUGGCAUCAGUGAUGCGUGAAAGCUCGCGGUUCAACUGGGAGAGGCCGUUUCAAUACUGGGGCCCUGGAGACAGAUAGAGGCAUACGGGAGUCACGGGUGGAGUUGCUGAAAUGCGUAGAGAUCCGGAGGAACACCAGUGGCGAAGGCGGUAUGCUGGGUCUGAUCUGACGCUGAGGUGCGAAAGCGUGGGGAGCGAACGGGAUUAGAAACCCCGGUAGUCCACGCCGUAACCGAUGCAAACUAGAUGUUAGCGGUCGAAAGGCCGUGAGUGUCGUAGCUAACGCGAUAAGUUUGCCGCCUGGGGACUACGGCCGCAAGGCUAAAACUCAAAGGAAUUGACGGGGACCCGCACAAGCAGCGGAGCGUGUGGUUUAAUUCGAGGCUACGCGAAGAACCUUACCUGGGCUUGACAUGAUGGUAGUAGCGACCUGAAAGGGAAGCGACCUUCGGGAGCCAUCACAGGUGCUGCAUGGCUGUCGUCAGCUCGUGCCGUGAGGUGUUCGGUUAAGUCCGAAAACGAGCGCUACCCCUAGCCCUAGUUACAAGUGUCUAGUGCGACUGCCCGGGGAAACUGGGAGGAAGGUGGGGAUGACGUCAAGUCAGCAUGGCCUUUAUGUCCAGGGCUACACACACGCUACAAUGGCCGGUACAAUAGGCAGCCAAGCCGCGAGGCGG